RNAcentral lists this unclassified non-coding RNA (237 nucleotides) under plant metagenome. RNAcentral's name for it is "partial contains small subunit ribosomal RNA, internal transcribed spacer 1, and 5.8S ribosomal RNA". The stretch from base 189 to 237 matches the Rfam family "5.8S ribosomal RNA", at positions 1 to 49 of the family's 154-position model. The record is from RNAcentral.
UCUCCGUAGGUGAACCUGCGGAGGGAUCAUUACAAGUGACCCCGGUCUUACCACCGGGAUGUUCAUAACCCUUUGUUGUCCGACUCUGUUGCCUCCGGGGCGACCCUGCCUUCGGGCGGGGGCUCCGGGUGGACACUUCAAACUCUUGCGUAACUUUGCAGUCUGAGUAAACUUAAUUAAUAGAUUAAAACUUUUAACAACGGAUCUCUUGGUUCUGACAUCGAUGAAGAACGCAGC